This 559-nucleotide ribosomal RNA is filed under the name uncultured Alphaproteobacteria bacterium. RNAcentral's name for it is "partial 16S ribosomal RNA". The record is from RNAcentral. Lineage: Bacteria; Pseudomonadati; Pseudomonadota; Alphaproteobacteria.
ACGCGUUGGGAGCUCUCCCAUAUGGUCGACCUGCAGGCGGCCGCGAAUUCACUAGUGAUUCGUAUUACCGCGGCUGCUGGCACGGAGUUAGCCGGAGCUUAUUCUCCCGGUACUGUCAUUAUCAUCCCGGGUAAAAGAGCUUUACAACCCUAAGGCCUUCAUCACUCACGCGGCAUGCUGGAUCAGGCUUUCGCCCAUUGUCCAAUAUUCCCCACUGCUGCCUCCCGUAGGAGUCUGGGCCGUGUCUCAGUCCCAGUGUGGCUGAUCAUCCUCUCAGACCAGCUAAGGAUCGUCGCCUUGGUGCGCCUUUACCACACCAACUAGCUAAUCCUACGCGGGCUCAUCCCUCGGCGAUAAAUCUUUGGACUUACGUCGUCAUCCGGUAUUAGCAGUCAUUUCUAACUGUUAUUCCGAACCAAGGGGCAGAUUCCCACGCGUUACGCACCCGUGCGCCACUAAGGCCGAAGCCUUCGUUCGACUUGCAUGUGUUAGGCAUGCCGCCAGCGCUCGUUCUGAGCCAUGAUCAAACUCUAAUCGAAUUCCCGCGGCCGCCAUGGCG